This 290-nucleotide ribosomal RNA is filed under the name uncultured bacterium. Its description in RNAcentral is "partial 16S ribosomal RNA". It matches the Rfam family "Bacterial small subunit ribosomal RNA", at positions 773 to 1060 of the family's 1533-position model. The record is from RNAcentral.
GUGGAUUAGAUACCCUGGUAGUCCUAGCUGUAAACGAUGUAGACUUGGCGUUGGUGGGUUCAAAUCCAUCAGUGCCGAAGCUAACGCGAUAAGUCUACCGCCUGGGGACUACGGCCGCAAGGUUAAAACUCAAAGGAAUUGACGGGGCCCCGCACAAGCAGCGGAGCGUGUGGUUUAAUUCGAUGUUACACGAAGAACCUUACCAGGGUUUGACAUGCAAGUGGUAGGGAUCCGAAAGGUGACCGACCCUUCGGGGAGCUUGCACAGGUGCUGCAUGGCUGUCGCCAACU